GAAAUGCGAUAAGUAAUGUGAAUUGCAGAAUUCAGUGAAUCAUCGAAUCUUUGAACGCAAAUUGCGCCUAUUAGUAUUCUAGUAGGCAUGCCUGUUCGAGCGUCAUUUCAACCCUCAAGCCCUGGUUGCUUGGUGUUGGGAGCUUGCUGUGAAACGCAACUCCUCAAAGCUAGCUGGCAGAGUCGGGAUGCACUCUAAGCGUAGUAAACUUGAUAGUCUCGCUUCUGCAGUUGUCCCGGCCGUCUUGCUAUAAAAGCCCAAACUUUUUUGUUUUCUAUGGUUGACCUCGGAUCAGGUAGGAAUACCCGCUGAACUUAAGC
Molecule: unclassified non-coding RNA, 320 nt
Filed under: plant metagenome
Description: partial contains 5.8S ribosomal RNA, internal transcribed spacer 2, and large subunit ribosomal RNA
Rfam family: 5.8S ribosomal RNA (bases 1-105)
Source: RNAcentral